GAGUAACGCGUGGGUAACCUGGCCCAUACAGGGGGAUAACACUUAGAAAUAGGUGCUAAUACCGCAUAACAACAGAAAGCGCAUGCUUUUUGUUUGAAAACCAAGGUGGUAUGGGAUGGACCCGCGUCUGAUUAGCUGGUUGGCGGGGUAAAGGCCCACCAAGGCGACGAUCAGUAGCCGGCCUGAGAGGGUGGACGGCCACAUUGGGACUGAGACACGGCCCAAACUCCUACGGGAGGCAGCAGUGGGGAAUAUUGCACAAUGGGGGAAACCCUGAUGCAGCGACGCCGCGUGAGUGAAGAAGUAAUUCGUUAUGUAAAGCUCUAUCAGCAGGGAAGAAAAUGACGGUACCUGAGUAAGAAGCCCCGGCUAACUACGUGCCAGCAGCCGCGGUAAUACGUAGGGGGCAAGCGUUAUCCGGAUUUACUGGGUGUAAAGGGAGCGUAGACGGCAGUGCAAGUCUGGAGUGAAAGGCGGGGGCUCAACCCCCGGACUGCUCUGGAAACUGUACGGCUGGAGUGCAGGAGAGGUAAGUGGAAUUCCUAGUGUAGCGGUGAAAUGCGUAGAUAUUAGGAGGAACACCAGUGGCGAAGGCGGCUUACUGGACUGUAACUGACGUUGAGGCUCGAAAGCGUGGGGAGCAAACAGGAUUAGAUACCCUGGUAGUCCACGCCGUAAACGAUGAUCACUAGGUGU
Molecule: ribosomal RNA, 696 nt
Filed under: uncultured bacterium
Lineage: Bacteria
Description: bacterial SSU rRNA
Rfam family: Bacterial small subunit ribosomal RNA
Source: RNAcentral